CCGUUCCUUCCCACAGUCCCCGGCCCCAAAAAGGCUGUUCUUCCCCGUAGCGCUCGGCCCUGCAGCUCCAGCCCCUCCUGGGCUCCAUCUCUUCAUCCAGGGCUCCCGCCCUGCCUUUGUGAGGCCUCAGAUCCAUCAGGGCCCUAACUGGGAGUCACAGAGUUCAUUUCAUCCCAUAGACAGCCGUUUCCACAGCAAGACACAGAGGACCUUCAUCCUGCACAGCUCUUGUCUUCAGCAUCUCCUCAGGGCCUGAAAUGAGGUACAGGUGUGAGCAGAAAGCAGUUACCAACCCCUACUGAUGCCCUAGGCAUUGCCUCCUUAAUUUAAGGCCAGCCUCAGCCCUAUGCCCUGUUUCCUUAUGUGGGAAAAGCAACUGAAUAUCAUCAGAAAGAAAACUGUGUUAUUCAGGAAGUUAUGAUGGUAACGUAAGGGUAAGGAUUUGUGGGAGGGGUGCUAUAUGAAUUACGAGCUUAAAUGAAUCACGAGUCUUUGGUACAGCCUGAAGUGGGCUGCAGUGUUGUGAAACUGGGAAUGUGCGUGUAAAUAGUUUCAAGCUCACUGUAAUGAAGUUUAGCUUCCAAAUGUUGCGUAGGCUUUUUUUUUUUUUCUGAAAGUCUUCCUCUAGAAGCCUUGUUUUAAAAAAAAAAAAAAAA
Numida meleagris (helmeted guineafowl) is the source of this 656-nucleotide long non-coding RNA. RefSeq lists it as uncharacterized. The record is from RefSeq and is a predicted model, not a curated record. Lineage: Eukaryota; Metazoa; Chordata; Aves; Galliformes; Numididae. The transcript is spliced from 2 exons.